RNAcentral lists this small nuclear RNA (106 nucleotides) under Chinchilla lanigera (long-tailed chinchilla). The record is from RNAcentral. Lineage: Eukaryota; Metazoa; Chordata; Mammalia; Rodentia; Chinchillidae.
CUGCCCACCUUGCAGCACAUAUGCUAAAACUGGAACAAUACAGAAAAGAGUAAUGUGGUCCUUGCACAAGGGUGACACGCAAAUUCGAGAAGCAUUCCAUGUUUUU